Salmo salar (Atlantic salmon) is the source of this 270-nucleotide non-coding RNA. The record is from RefSeq and is a predicted model, not a curated record. Lineage: Eukaryota; Metazoa; Chordata; Actinopteri; Salmoniformes; Salmonidae.
CCUCUGGCGCAAUAGAACAGUUCUGUUCCUGGUUGCUGCUGUUCAAUUCCAUGGACACGGAUUUGCGCUGAGUCAGAUUUUUCACUUGAAGAAUCCAUAUAAGGCCCUACCUCCUCCUCCCUUCACAUCAAUAUCCACGCUGAGUUAAACGCUAGAGCUACUGUUUACAAGAAAUGGGACACAGACAUGGACGCAUACAACAAGGCCCACUAUGACCGCCAACAUCAAACAUGCAAAAGGACAAUAUAGGAGGAAGGUGGAAUCCUACUA